AGCCUCGUGGUGGAGAGCACAUUGGAUUGCAAGUCCGAAGACGUGGACGAUAGUCCGCCGGGGCUU
RNAcentral lists this transfer RNA (66 nucleotides) under Osteochilus nashii (Nash's barb). RNAcentral's name for it is "tRNA-Cys". It matches the Rfam family "tRNA". From Rfam's summary of the family: Transfer RNA (tRNA) molecules are approximately 80 nucleotides in length. Their secondary structure includes four short double-helical elements and three loops (D, anti-codon, and T loops). Further hydrogen bonds mediate the characteristic L-shaped molecular structure. tRNAs have two regions of fundamental functional importance: the anti-codon, which is responsible for specific mRNA codon recognition, and the 3' end, to which the tRNAs corresponding amino acid is attached (by aminoacyl-tRNA synthetases). tRNAs cope with the degeneracy of the genetic code in two manners: having more than one tRNA (with a specific anti-codon) for a particular amino acid; and 'wobble' base-pairing, i.e. permitting non-standard base-pairing at the 3rd anti-codon position. The record is from RNAcentral. Lineage: Eukaryota; Metazoa; Chordata; Actinopteri; Cypriniformes; Cyprinidae.